Molecule: ribosomal RNA, 1575 nt
Filed under: Eriophora transmarina
Lineage: Eukaryota; Metazoa; Arthropoda; Arachnida; Araneae; Araneidae
Description: SSU rRNA
Rfam family: Eukaryotic small subunit ribosomal RNA
Source: RNAcentral
UCAAAGAUUAAGCCAUGCAUGUCUAAGUACAUGCCGUAUUAAGGCGAAACCGCGAAUGGCUCAUUAAAUCAGUUAUGGUUCCUUGGAUCGUACCUUACUACUUGGAUAACUGUGGCAAUUCUAGAGCUAAUACAUGCAGCAGAGCUCCGACCUUCGGGAACGAGCGCUUUUAUUAGACCAAAACCAAUCGGGCCUCGUGUCCGUCUCUUGUGGUGACUCUGUAUAACUUUGGGCUGAUCGCACGGGCUCGUCCCGGCGACGUAUCUUUCAAGUGUCUGCCUUAUCAACUGUCGAUGGUAGGUUACGCGCCUACCAUGGUCGUAACGGGUGACGGGGAAUCAGGGUUCGAUUCCGGAGAGGGAGCCUGAGAAACGGCUACCACAUCCAAGGAAGGCAGCAGGCGCGCAAAUUACCCACUCCCAGAACGGGGAGGUAGUGACGAAAAAUAACAAUACGGGACUCUUUUGAGACCCCGUAAUUGGAAUGAGUACACUCUAAAUCCUUUAACGAGGAUCCAUUGGAGAGCAAGUCUGGUGCCAGCAGUCGCGGUAAUUCCAGCUCCAAUAGCGUAUAUUAAAGUUGUUGCGGUUAAAAAGCUCGUAGUUGGAUCUCAGCUCCGGCCGGACGGUCCGCCUACCGGUGGUCACUGUUCGUCGCCGAGCGUUCAGGCGGUUAUUCUUGAUGAUCUUCACCGGUUGUCUCGGGUGACCGCCAAGUUUACUUUGAAAAAAUUAGAGUGCUCAAAGCAGGCGCGACGCCUGAAUAAUUGUGCAUGGAAUAAUGGAAUAGGACCUCGGUUCUAUUUUGUUGGUUUUCGGAACACGAGGUAAUGAUUAAGAGGGACAGACGGGGGCAUUCGUAUUGCGACGCUAGAGGUGAAAUUCUUGGACCGUCGCAAGACGAACUACUGCAAAAUUGAAACUUAAAGGAAUUGACGGAAGGGCACCACCAGAAAUGGAGCCUGCGGCUUAAUUUGACUCAACACGGGAAAACUUACCCGGCCCGGACACAGGAAGGAUUGACAGAUUAAGAGCUCUUUCUUGAUUCUGUGGGUGGUGGUGCAUGGCCGUUCUUAGUUGGUGGGGCGACUUGUCUGGUUAAUUCCGAUAACGAACGAGACUCUAGCCUACUAAAUAGACGUUCCGAUCCUCUUGAGUCGGACGUUCUUCUUAGAGGGACAAGCGGCGUUUAGCCGCACGAGACAGAGCAAUAACAGGUCUGGGAUGCCCUUAGAUGUCCGGGGCCGCACGCGCGCUACAUUGAAGGAAUCAGCGUGUGCUUUCCCUGUCCGACAGGACUGGGUAACCCGUUGAACCUCCUUCGUGCUGGGGAUUGGAGAUUGUAAUUGUCCUCCAUGAACGAGGAAUUCCCAGUAAGCACGAGUCAUCAGCUCGUGUUGAUUACGUCCCUGCCCUUUGUCCACACCGCCCGUCGCUACUACCGAUUGAAUGAUUUAGUGAGGUCUUCGGACUGGCGCUCGGAUUGGCCUUCGCGGUCGAGCCGGUGUGCCGGAAAGAUGACCAAACUUGAUCAUUUAGAGGAAGUAAAAGUCGUAACAAGGUUUUCGUAGGUGAA